Molecule: ribosomal RNA, 490 nt
Filed under: Malassezia restricta
Lineage: Eukaryota; Fungi; Basidiomycota; Malasseziomycetes; Malasseziales; Malasseziaceae
Description: partial large subunit ribosomal RNA
Rfam family: Eukaryotic large subunit ribosomal RNA
Source: RNAcentral
GGCGUCUUCGGCGUCCGCGUUGUAAUCUCGAGACGUGUUUUCCGUGCGGCUCUAUGGACAAGUCCCUUGGAACAGGGCAUCGUAGAGGGUGAAAAUCCCGUACUUGCCAUGGAAGUACCGUGCUUUGUGAUACACGUUCCAAGAGUCGAGUAGUUUGGGAUUGCUGCUCAAAGUGGGUGGUAGACUCCAUCUAAAGCUAAAUAUCGGGGAGAGACCGAUAGCGAACAAGUACCGUGAGGGAAAGAUGAAAAGCACUUUGGAAAGAGAGUUAAAAGUACGUGAAAUUGUCGAAAGGGAAGCACUUGAAGUCAGCCAUGCUGCUUGAGACUCAGCCUGGCUUUUGCUUGGUGUAUUUCUCGGUAGCAAGCCAGCAUUGGUUUGUGUCGUCGGAGAAGCGUAUGGGGAAUGUGGCAUCCUCGGAUGUGUUAUAGCCCUGUGCUGGAUACGACGACGCAGACCAAGGAACGCAGUGUGCCCUCUGGGCGGGUCU